GGAAGCGUCUGGAAAGGCGCGCGAUACAGGGUGACAGCCCCGUACACAAAAGCGCAUGUGCUGUGAGCUCGAUGAGUAGGGCGGGACACGUGGUAUCCUGUCUGAAUAUGGGGGGACCAUCCUCCAAGGCUAAAUACUCCUGACUGACCGAUAGUGAACCAGUACCGUGAGGGAAAGGCGAAAAGAACCCCGGCGAGGGGAGUGAAAAAGAACCUGAAACCGUGUACGUACAAGCAGUGGGAGCACAGGUUUACCUGUGUGACUGCGUACCUUUUGUAUAAUGGGUCAGCGACUUAUAUUCUGUAGCAAGGUUAACCGUAUAGGGGAGCCGUAGGGAAACCGAGUCUUAACCGGGCGUUAAGUUGCAGGGUAUAGACCCGAAACCCGGUGAUCUAGCCAUGGGCAGGUUGAAGGUUGGGUAACACUAACUGGAGGACCGAACCGACUAAUGUUGAAAAAUUAGCGGAUGACCUGUGGCUGGGGGUGAAAGGCCAAUCAAACCGGGAGAUAGCUGGUUCUCCCCGAAAGCUAUUUAGGUAGCGCCUCGUGAAUUCAUCUCCGGGGGUAGAGCACUGUUUCGGCUAGGGGGCCAUCCCGGCUUACCAACCCGAUGCAAACUGCGAAUACCGGAGAAUGUUAUCACGGGAGACACACGGCGGGUGCUAACGUCCGUCGUGAAGAGGGAAACAACCCAGACCGCCAGCUAAGGUCCCAAAGUCAUGGUUAAGUGGGAAACGAUGUGGGAAGGCCCAGACAGCCAGGAUGUUGGCUUAGAAGCAGCCAUCAUUUAAAGAAAGCGUAAUAGCUCACUGGUCGAGUCGGCCUGCGCGGAAGAUGUAACGGGGCUAAACCAUGCACCGAAGCUGCGGCAGCGACGCUGAUGCGUUGUUGGGUAGGGGAGCGUUCUGUAAGCCUGUGAAGGUGGCCUGUGAGGGUUGCUGGAGGUAUCAGAAGUGCGAAUGCUGACAUAAGUAACGAUAAAGCGGGUGAAAAGCCCGCUCGCCGGAAGACCAAGGGUUCCUGUCCAACGUUAAUCGGGGCAGGGUGAGUCGACCCCUAAGGCGAGGCCGAAAGGCGUAGUCGAUGGGAAACGGGUUAAUAUUCCCGUACUUGGUGUUACUGCGAAGGGGGGACGGAGAAGGCUAUGUUGGCCGGGCGACGGUUGUCCCGGUUUAAGCGUGUAGGUGUGUGUUCCAGGUAAAUCCGGUUCACUUUAACACUGAGGCGUGAUGACGAGGCACUACGGUGCUGAAGCAACAAAUGCCCUGCUUCCAGGAAAAGCCUCUAAGCAUCAGGUAACAUCAAAUCGUACCCCAAACCGACACAGGUGGUCAGGUAGAGAAUACCAAGGCGCUUGAGAGAACUCGGGUGAAGGAACUAGGCAAAAUGGUGCCGUAACUUCGGGAGAAGGCACGCUGACACGUAGGUGAAGUGAUUUACUCAUGGAGCUGAAGUCAGUCGAAGAUACCAGCUGGCUGCAACUGUUUAUUAAAAACACAGCACUGUGCAAACACGAAAGUGGACGUAUACGGUGUGACGCCUGCCCGGUGCCGGAAGGUUAAUUGAUGGGGUCAGCGCAAGCGAAGCUCCUGAUCGAAGCCCCGGUAAACGGCGGCCGUAACUAUAACGGUCCUAAGGUAGCGAAAUUCCUUGUCGGGUAAGUUCCGACCUGCACGAAUGGCGUAAUGAUGGCCAGGCUGUCUCCACCCGAGACUCAGUGAAAUUGAACUCGCUGUGAAGAUGCAGUGUACCCGCGGCAAGACGGAAAGACCCCGUGAACCUUUACUAUAGCUUGACACUGAACAUUGAGCCUUGAUGUGUAGGAUAGGUGGGAGGCUUUGAAGCGUGGACGCCAGUCUGCAUGGAGCCGGCCUUGAAAUACCACCCUUUAAUGUUUGAUGUUCUAACGUGGACCCGUGAUCCGGGUUGCGGACAGUGUCUGGUGGGUAGUUUGACUGGGGCGGUCUCCUCCUAAAGAGUAACGGAGGAGCACGAAGGUUGGCUAAUCCUGGUCGGACAUCAGGAGGUUAGUGCAAUGGCAUAAGCCAGCUUGACUGCGAGCGUGACGGCGCGAGCAGGUGCGAAAGCAGGUCAUAGUGAUCCGGUGGUUCUGAAUGGAAGGGCCAUCGCUCAACGGAUAAAAGGUACUCCGGGGAUAACAGGCUGAUACCGCCCAAGAGUUCAUAUCGACGGCGGUGUUUGGCACCUCGAUGUCGGCUCAUCACAUCCUGGGGCUGAAGUAGGUCCCAAGGGUAUGGCUGUUCGCCAUUUAAAGUGGUACGCGAGCUGGGUUUAGAACGUCGUGAGACAGUUCGGUCCCUAUCUGCCGUGGGCGCUGGAGAACUGAGGGGGGCUGCUCCUAGUACGAGAGGACCGGAGUGGACGCAUCACUGGUGUUCGGGUUGUCAUGCCAAUGGCACUGCCCGGUAGCUAAAUGCGGAAGAGAUAAGUGCUGAAAGCAUCUAAGCACGAAACUUGCCCCGAGAUGAGUUCUCCCUGAGACUUAGAGUCUCCUGAAGGAACGUUGAAGACGACGACGUUGAUAGGCCGGGUGUGUAAGCGCAGCGAUGCGUUGAGCUAACCGGUACUAAUGAACCGUGAGGCUUAACCUUACAACGCCGAAG
Molecule: ribosomal RNA, 2624 nt
Filed under: Salmonella enterica subsp. enterica serovar Choleraesuis
Lineage: Bacteria; Pseudomonadati; Pseudomonadota; Gammaproteobacteria; Enterobacterales; Enterobacteriaceae
Description: partial 23S ribosomal RNA
Rfam family: Bacterial large subunit ribosomal RNA
Source: RNAcentral